Molecule: ribosomal RNA, 301 nt
Filed under: uncultured bacterium
Lineage: Bacteria
Description: partial 16S ribosomal RNA
Rfam family: Bacterial small subunit ribosomal RNA
Source: RNAcentral
CAGUAGCCGCGGGAAAACGGAGGGUGCAAGCGUUAAUCGGAAUUACUGGGCGUAAAGCGUGCGUAGGCGGUUUGUUAAGUCUGUUGUGAAAUCCCCGGGCUCAACCUGGGAAUGGCAAUGGAUACUGGCAAGCUAGAGUGUGUCAGAGGAUGGUGGAAUUCCCGGUGUAGCGGUGAAAUGCGUAGAGAUCGGAAGGAACAUCUGUGGCGAAGGCGACUAUCUGGGCCAACACUGACGCUGAGGCACGAAAGCGUGGGGAGCAAACAGGAUUAGAUACCCGAGUAGUCCCUGUCUCUUAUAC